Molecule: long non-coding RNA, 441 nt
Organism: Gossypium raimondii (Peruvian cotton)
Lineage: Eukaryota; Viridiplantae; Streptophyta; Magnoliopsida; Malvales; Malvaceae
Exons: 2
Source: RefSeq, a predicted model, not a curated record
UUCAAGUAUGAAUCUUUUACAGGAAGAGGAGCUGAGAGGAGCAGCAGUUCUUAUUUUUCUUAUUUUUGCAAGUAAGCAGAUUGGUUAAAGGUAGCAACAAGAAGGGGAAAAAUAUCACUCAAGGGUGUGCUAAGGUAACAACACCCUCCCAAUGUCUUUGCUGUAAGUUGGUUAUGUGUUCAACUUUGGAAAGAUGAAAUUUGUUAAUGGAAAAGGAAGCUGCCAAGGUAAAGAGCAGCAUACCCUCGUAGGCUGCCAAAUGCCAAAAGUCAACAACAACAACAAAAAUGAACAAGGAAAAUGGACAUAAACAAAUAUCUCCACUGGAAUGAUGAUACCAUUACUCUUUUUUAGUAAUACGGGAAAGACAAUAUAUACAUGUUAAACUACAUUUACAAUUCGGAUUUGAUCUUUUUACUUUAAACAAGAACAUUUUGGUUA